AAUGGAUAACUUUUUAUUGAAUGGUAGUUCUUUUAGAUAUAAAACUACCAUAAUAAGUUACUCCAAGAUUAAUUAAUUGUAGGACUCUGUGUAGUUGUUAAUAGUUGAAAACAAUUACGUCGUUCCCCUACAAACAGU
Chrysoperla carnea is the source of this 138-nucleotide non-coding RNA. RefSeq annotates it as small Cajal body-specific RNA 3. The transcript has a single exon. The record is from RefSeq and is a predicted model, not a curated record. Lineage: Eukaryota; Metazoa; Arthropoda; Insecta; Neuroptera; Chrysopidae.